RNAcentral lists this ribosomal RNA (497 nucleotides) under uncultured bacterium. RNAcentral's name for it is "partial 16S ribosomal RNA". It matches the Rfam family "Bacterial small subunit ribosomal RNA", at positions 28 to 507 of the family's 1533-position model. The record is from RNAcentral.
GAUGAACGCUGGCGGCGUGCCUAAUACAUGCAAGUCGAGCGAACAGACGAGGAGCUUGCUCCUCUGACGUUAGCGGCGGACGGGUGAGUAACACGUGGAUAACCUACCUAUAAGACUGGGAUAACUUCGGGAAACCGGAGCUAAUACCGGAUAAUAUAUUGAACCGCAUGGUUCAAUAGUGAAAGACGGUUUUGCUGACACUUAUAGAUGGAUCCGCGCCGCCUUAGCUAGUUGGUAAGGUAACGGCUUACCAAGGCAAAGAUGCGUAGCCGACCUGAGAGGGUGAACGGCCACACUGGAACUGAGACACGGUCCAGACUCCUACGGGAGGCAGCAGUAGGGAAUCUUCCGCAAUGGGCGAAAGCUUGACGGAGCAACGCCGCGUGAGUGAUGAAGGUCUUCGGAUCGUAAAACUCUGUUAUUAGGGAAGAACAAAUGUGUAAGUAACUAUGCACGUCUUGACGGUACCUAAUCAGAAAGCCACGGCUAACUACGUG